Molecule: ribosomal RNA, 468 nt
Filed under: uncultured bacterium
Lineage: Bacteria
Description: partial 16S ribosomal RNA
Rfam family: Bacterial small subunit ribosomal RNA
Source: RNAcentral
GACGAACGCUGGCGGCGUGCUUAACACAUGCAAGUCGAACGGAAAGGCCCUGCUUUUGUGGGGUGCUCGAGUGGCGAACGGGUGAGUAACACGUGAGUAACCUGCCCUUGACUUUGGGAUAACUUCAGGAAACUGGGGCUAAUACCGGAUAGGAGCUCCUGCUGCAUGGUGGGGGUGGGAAAGUUUCGGCGGUUGGGGAUGGACUCGCGGCUUAUGAGCUUGUUGGUGGGGUAGUGGCUUACCAAGGCUUUGACGGGUAGCCGGCCUGAGAGGGUGACCGGCCACAUUGGGACUGAGAUACGGCCCAGACUCCUACGGGAGGCAGCAGUGGGGAAUAUUGCACAAUGGGCGGAAGCCUGAUGCAGCAACGCCGCGUGCGGGAUGACGGCCUUCGGGUUGUAAACCGCUUUCGCCUGUGACGAAGCGUGAGUGACGGUAAUGGGUAAAGAAGCACCGGCUAACUACGUG